RNAcentral lists this ribosomal RNA (460 nucleotides) under uncultured bacterium. RNAcentral's name for it is "partial 16S ribosomal RNA". It matches the Rfam family "Bacterial small subunit ribosomal RNA", at positions 338 to 795 of the family's 1533-position model. The record is from RNAcentral.
CCUACGGGAGGCAGCAGUGAGGAAUAUUGGUCAAUGGACGAGAGUCUGAACCAGCCAAGUAGCGUGAAGGAUGACUGCCCUAUGGGUUGUAAACUUCUUUUAUAUGGGAAUAAAAUGUUCCACGUGUGGGAUUUUGUAUGUACCAUAUGAAUAAGGAUCGGCUAACUCCGUGCCAGCAGCCGCGGUAAUACGGAGGAUCCGAGCGUUAUCCGGAUUUAUUGGGUUUAAAGGGAGCGUAGGUGGAUUGUUAAGUCAGUUGUGAAAGUUUGCGGCUCAACCGUAAAAUUGCAGUUGAAACUGGCAGUCUUGAGUACAGUAGAGGUGGGCGGAAUUCGUGGUGUAGCGGUGAAAUGCUUAGAUAUAACGAAGAACUCCGAUUGCGAAGGCAGUUCACUGGACUGCAACUGACACUGAGGCUCGAAAGUGUGGGUAUCAAACAGGAUUAGAUACCCGCGUAGUC